RNAcentral lists this small RNA (878 nucleotides) under Pongo abelii (Sumatran orangutan). RNAcentral's name for it is "retained intron". Lineage: Eukaryota; Metazoa; Chordata; Mammalia; Primates; Hominidae. The record is from RNAcentral.
GUGGGUCCCCGGAGGCUCGGCUGGCGGCGGGGCUGGGUCGCAGCUCUGAAAUCUGAUUCUUUGUCUUCCCGGUCUCCAUGUCCAGGUGUCCGUGUUCUUCAGGACCAGCCCAAAGCACAAGCUCAAAAUCAUCAAGGCUCUGCAGGAGUCAGGGGCGAUCGUGGCCAUGACUGGGGAUGGGGUGAACGACGCAGUGGCCCUGAAGUCUGCAGACAUCGGGAUCGCCAUGGGGCAGACAGGGACGGACGUCAGCAAAGAGGCUGCCAACAUGAUCCUGGUGGACGAUGACUUCUCAGCCAUCAUGAAUGCAGUGGAGGAAGGCAAGGGGAUUUUUUACAACAUCAAAAACUUUGUCCGAUUCCAGCUGAGCACCUUGGGGGUAGAGCCCGUUGACAAAGACGCCUUCAGGCAGCCACCAAGGAGUGUGAAGGACACCAUCCUCAGCAGAGCCCUCAUCCUGAAGAUCCUCAUGUCUGCGGCCGUCAUCAUCAGCGGGACCCUCUUUAUCUUCUGGAAGGAGAUGCCUGAAGACAGAGCAAGCACUCCCCGCACCACGACGAUGACGUUCACUUGUUUUGUGUUUUUUGAUCUCUUCAACGCCUUGAGCUGCCGCUCUCAGACCAAGCUGAUAUUUGAGAUCGGCUUUCUCAGGAACCACAUGUUCCUCUACUCCGUCCUUGGGUCCAUCCUGGGGCAGCUGGCAGUCAUUUACAUCCCCCCGCUACAGAGGGUCUUCCAGACGGAGAACCUGGGAGCGCUUGAUUUGCUGUUUUUAACUGGAUUGGCCUCAUCCGUCUUCAUUUUGUCAGAGCUCCUCAAACUAUGUGAAAAAUACUGUUGCAGCACCAAGAGAGUCCAGACGCAUCCUGAAGAUGUGU